Ctenopharyngodon idella (grass carp) is the source of this 704-nucleotide long non-coding RNA. RefSeq lists it as uncharacterized. The transcript has 4 exons. The record is from RefSeq and is a predicted model, not a curated record. Lineage: Eukaryota; Metazoa; Chordata; Actinopteri; Cypriniformes; Xenocyprididae.
AGGGGCCGCAGAUUAAACCCUUAUGAAUAAAACACACAUACACUUUACCACCCACAGAUUUGGGCGGAAACCAACACUCAACUUUUGUUCUCCGCGGGUCAUAUAACGGCGCAGGAGUGUCGGACAGUUCAAUCUCGCGUGCUGAAAUGGCCGGAAUCUCGCAGCACAGGUCUAAGAUCUCUAAACCGCUGAUGGAGCGACGGAGGCGAGCGCGCAUCAACGCGUGCAUCGGAGAGCUGCGCGCUCUGCUGAUUCAAGCCCGCGCAACCACGAGCUGUCAAUCAUCUAAACUGGAAAAGGCGGAAAUUCUCGAGUUCACUGUACGACACCUGCGCGCGCUGCACUGCCCUUCAACAGAUGGGUGGAGUCGGUUCUGUGCGGGAUACGCGGCAUGUGUGCGGGAGAUCACGCGCUUCUUCAGAACCACAGACACGAACCGACGCCCGAGCGCGGAACACCAGGACCGACCCGACAUGUCACAGAACCCAAAUCCACUCGCACUCACGAGCGUCUGGAGACCCUGGAGCUAAAACCUGCCAAAUCCCUCAUAUAAACCGUUUUAGUCUUGUCUGUUAAGAGGGAAGCCCAUUUCCGCCACAUAAAAAAUACGCUAAUGCUUUUGUAAAUCAUGGCAAGUCGAUCAAAUUUAAUAUGCAUGUUUUUUUGUUAUGUGCCGGAAUUGUAUAUUCCACAUGUUAGUUUAU